Molecule: long non-coding RNA, 272 nt
Filed under: Zonotrichia albicollis (white-throated sparrow)
Lineage: Eukaryota; Metazoa; Chordata; Aves; Passeriformes; Passerellidae
Description: lncRNA (ENSZALG00000002782.1)
Source: RNAcentral
UGGGAUCAUGGGAUGGUGGGAUCACAGGAUCAUGGGAUGGUGGGAUCACAGGAUCACGGGAUGGUGGGAUCACAGGAUGAUGGGAUGGUGGGAUCACAGGAUCAUGGGAUGGUGGAUCACAGGAUGAUGGGAUCAUGUCCAUGUCCCUUCUCCAUGGACCACCCCACAGCAUCUCCCACAACCCCCCGGGAUCCUGGGACCAUGGGAUCACGGGAUGGUGGGAUCACCUCCACCUCCCACACCACCCAUGGUCACCUCCACCCCUUUUCUCC